GGCCGAAAGGCUGACCCAGCGACGCCGCGUGCGGGAGGACGCCUUCGGGGUGUAAACCGCUGUCAGAGGGGAAGAAACGCGAGGGCAGGAAUAUGGCUUUCGUUUGACGGUACCCUCAAAGGAAGCGCCGGCUAACUCUGUGCCAGCAGCCGCGGUAAUACAGAGGGCGCGAGCGUUGUUCGGAAUCACUGGGCGUAAAGCGCGCGCAGGCGGGACGACAAGUCUGGAGUGAAAUUCCGGGGCUCAACUCCGGGACUGCUUUGGAAACUGUCGACCUGGGGACCGGUAGAGGCCGGUGGAAUUCCCGGUGUAGCGGUGGAAUGCGUAGAGAUCGGGAAGAACACCCGUGGCGAAGGCGGCCGGCUGGGCCGGAUCCGACGCUGAGGCGCGAAAGCGUGGGGAGCAAACAGGAUUAGAUACCCUGGUAGUCCACGCCGUAAACGAUGGGCACUAGGUGCUGGGGGGAGCGACCCCUUCGGUGCCGCAGCUAACGCGUUAAGUGCCCCGCCUGGGGAGUACGGCCGCAAGGCUG
RNAcentral lists this ribosomal RNA (532 nucleotides) under uncultured bacterium. Its description in RNAcentral is "bacterial SSU rRNA". It matches the Rfam family "Bacterial small subunit ribosomal RNA", at positions 373 to 896 of the family's 1533-position model. The record is from RNAcentral.